This 111-nucleotide small nuclear RNA is filed under the name Catagonus wagneri (Chacoan peccary). Its description in RNAcentral is "U2 spliceosomal RNA (ENSCWAG00000010517.1)". It matches the Rfam family "U2 spliceosomal RNA". Rfam says of the family: U2 is a small nuclear RNA (snRNA) component of the spliceosome (involved in pre-mRNA splicing). Complementary binding between U2 snRNA (in an area lying towards the 5' end but 3' to hairpin I) and the branchpoint sequence (BPS) of the intron results the bulging out of an unpaired adenosine, on the BPS, which initiates a nucleophilic attack at the intronic 5' splice site, thus starting the first of two transesterification reactions that mediate splicing. Lineage: Eukaryota; Metazoa; Chordata; Mammalia; Artiodactyla; Tayassuidae. The record is from Rfam by way of RNAcentral.
AUCGCUUCUCGGCCUUUUGGCUAAGAUCAAGUGUAGUAACUCUCAAGAAUAUCAGAUAAUUAAGUAAUGACAUAGAGAAUAUAAAGUAAGUAGAUUUUUAAAUGACCAGAU